Molecule: non-coding RNA, 1491 nt
Organism: Solanum lycopersicum (tomato)
Lineage: Eukaryota; Viridiplantae; Streptophyta; Magnoliopsida; Solanales; Solanaceae
Source: RefSeq, a predicted model, not a curated record
AACGCACGUAUAUUUCAUGUUAAGUAUUUUUUUUUUUUAAGAAAACCAUAUGAGUUAUAUGAUGUGCAUAUUUUUAAAAUGUUUUUUGUUCUAGUAUUUCUUCCAUGCCUAGUUACUUAUCCAGUUAUCAAUCAACCUUCUUUCAUCUCUACAUUUAAUUGGGAAGAUUUAUACUUGCAGAUUUAUAUGAAAUAAUACUUACCUUCUUCUCUGUAACUAUGAGUGUGUUAUCACCCCCUAUGGUCUUAGCAUUUUCUUACAUGAUCACUAUGGAAACUUUGUUAAGUAACGUUGAGACUUGUAAUUCAUAUUCAUUUAAAAGUUACAUCACUACUUAUUUCAUAACCUCCGCUUCAUUCAUAAGUACAUAACUCUCUUUUAUUAUGGUGGAGUAUAACUAUUUAAUUUUUAAGUAAAAUUUUCGGUCGAGUCUUAUUGUGUAUCGAAUUAACUUUAUUAGAGAGUGUUUUAUGUUUUACUCUGAAACUUUCUUGGCGUGAAUGCGAAGAAAGUUACUAGUCAAUCCAUCAAUGAAUUUAUUUUUAUUUCCAAAAAAAGAAACUUUCUCUCGAAUGACUAAAAGCUUGUUUAGAUGAGUUUAUAGAUUAUUACUUAAAAGCAUAGCCAUGCCAAAAUCUGGAAAAAAAGAGAGAAGAAGAUGAGGGUGAUCACUCAGAAUGAUAAGCCAUGCCAAAAUCUGGAAAAAAAGAGAGAAGAAGAUGAGGGUGAUCACUCAGAAUGAUAAGCAGUGAAGGUGCUCGACAAAAUGGAUGAGAGAAAAAAAAAAAUCAAAGAGCACUUGUGCUCCUAACUGGAUAUGGAAACAGAGAGAAAAAAUCUUACAAAUGGAUGAAGCCGAGAGAAGAUGGUGCAAUGUUAAAUUAGGUUUGCCAAAAGUUAGUUCGAAAGAGGAGGAAACCUUAUAAGAGUCCACCCAUCUCAUUAACCAAAGAUAUGAGACUUUUGUCCUUCUUUAAUAUGCAAUGAGUUAAAAGAUUGAUUCCCAGAUUGCAAAAUAUUUGCAGGACAACUAUAGCUCCGGAUACUCGAGCCCAAGCACCAUCCUCUGCUGCUUUUCAGAUAUGCAGCACUGGAAGUGUGCAGGACAAUGCUGGGAAGCCUUAACUGAGUGGCUACAUCAUCAACGAAAAUCAUGACAUUAUCAUAAACGAUACAAGCAAGCUGAUCACCUUCCUCUUUCAUCUUCUUAACAAGAAUGGAAGACGAAUUCAGGAUGAUUGGAAUAUUUAGGAGUAUUCAAUUCAGGAUGUGCUAUUAUAACAGAAAAGCCUUGAGAAUAAAGGAUACUUCCAAGCUGCAGCAUUGGUGUUAAAUGCCCCUGGAAUGGAAGUGGUGUUGGCGGAGGGAGCCGUGAUGGCAAGGCAGAAAUGAAGUCUACCAAAUCAUUCAGAUUCUUUUGUGAAGUGCCAUCAAUCUGCAUUCCAGCAACUAUCUUUUGUUUCAUGUCUACUACUCUUUUCUUCACAUCUU